GCUCAGGAUGAACGCUAGCUACAGGCUUAACACAUGCAAGUCGAGGGGCAGCAUGGUCUUAGCUUGCUAAGGCCGAUGGCGACCGGCGCACGGGUGAGUAACACGUAUCCAACCUGCCGUCUACUCUUGGACAGCCUUCUGAAAGGAAGAUUAAUACAAGAUGGCAUCAUGAGUCCGCAUGUUCACAUGAUUAAAGGUAUUCCGGUAGACGAUGGGGAUGCGUUCCAUUAGAUAGUAGGCGGGGUAACGGCCCACCUAGUCUUCGAUGGAUAGGGGUUCUGAGAGGAAGGUCCCCCACAUUGGAACUGAGACACGGUCCAAACUCCUACGGGAGGCAGCAGUGAGGAAUAUUGGUCAAUGGGCGAGAGCCUGAACCAGCCAAGUAGCGUGAAGGAUGACUGCCCUAUGGGUUGUAAACUUCUUUUAUAAAGGAAUAAAGUCGGGUAUGGAUACCCGUUUGCAUGUACUUUAUGAAUAAGGAUCGGCUAACUCCGUGCCAGCAGCCGCGGUAAUACGGAGGAUCCGAGCGUUAUCCGGAUUUAUUGGGUUUAAAGGGAGCGUAGAUGGAUGUUUAAGUCAGUUGUGAAAGUUUGCGGCUCAACCGUAAAAUUGCAGUUGAUACUGGAUAUCUUGAGUGCAGUUGAGGCAGGCGGAAUUCGUGGUGUAGCGGUGAAAUGCUUAGAUAUCACGAAGAACUCCGAUUGCGAAGGCAGCCUGCUAAGCUGCAACUGACAUUGAGGCUCGAAAGUGUGGGUAUCAAACAGGAUUAGAUACCCUGGUAGUCCACACGGUAAACGAUGAAUACUCGCUGUUUGCGAUAUACGGCAAGCGGCCAAGCGAAAGCGUUAAGUAUUCCACCUGGGGAGUACGCCGGCAACGGUGAAACUCAAAGGAAUUGACGGGGGCCCGCACAAGCGGAGGAACAUGUGGUUUAAUUCGAUGAUACGCGAGGAACCUUACCCGGGCUUAAAUUGCAGAUGAAUUACGGUGAAAGCCGUAAGCCGCAAGGCAUCUGUGAAGGUGCUGCAUGGUUGUCGUCAGCUCGUGCCGUGAGGUGUCGGCUUAAGUGCCAUAACGAGCGCAACCCUUGUUGUCAGUUACUAACAGGUUCCGCUGAGGACUCUGACAAGACUGCCAUCGUAAGAUGUGAGGAAGGUGGGGAUGACGUCAAAUCAGCACGGCCCUUACGUCCGGGGCUACACACGUGUUACAAUGGGGGGUACAGAGGGCCGCUACCACGCGAGUGGAUGCCAAUCCCCAAAACCUCUCUCAGUUCGGACUGGAGUCUGCAACCCGACUCCACGAAGCUGGAUUCGCUAGUAAUCGCGCAUCAGCCACGGCGCGGUGAAUACGUUCCCGGGCCUUGUACACACCGCCCGUCAAGCCAUGGGAGCCGGGGGUACCUGAAGUGCGUAACCGCGAGGAGCGCCCUAGGGU
RNAcentral lists this ribosomal RNA (1437 nucleotides) under uncultured organism. RNAcentral's name for it is "SSU rRNA". It matches the Rfam family "Bacterial small subunit ribosomal RNA". The record is from RNAcentral.